GAUGAACGCUGGCGGCGUGCUUAACACAUGCAAGUCGAGCGAAAAGACGAGGAGCUUGCUCCUCUGACGUUAGCCGCGCACGGGUGUGUAACACGUGGAUAACCUCCCUAUAAGACUGAGAUAACUUCGGGACACCGGCGCUUACACCGUAUAACAUCUUGCAGCGCAUGGGUCAAUAGAAAAAUACGGCCUUUCUGGAUCUUAUCGCUGGAUCCGGGCGGCAUUAGCUAGUUGGUAAGGUAACGGCUUACCACGGCAACCAUGCGUAGCCGACCUGCGAGGGUGGUAGGCCACCCUGGAGCUGGGACAGGGACCAGGGUCCUACGAGAGGCAGCAGUAGGCAAUCGGCCGCAAUGGGCGAAAGCAUGACGGAGCAACGCGGCGUGAGUGAAGAAAGUCUUCGGAUCGUAAUACUCGGUUAUUAGGGAAGAACAAAUGUGUAAGUAACUAUGCACGGCUUGACGGUACCUGAUCAGAAAGCAACGGCUAACUACGUG
This 497-nucleotide ribosomal RNA is filed under the name uncultured bacterium. RNAcentral's name for it is "partial 16S ribosomal RNA". It matches the Rfam family "Bacterial small subunit ribosomal RNA", at positions 28 to 507 of the family's 1533-position model. The record is from RNAcentral.